UACGAAGGGGGCUAGCGUUGUUCGGAAUUACUGGGCGUAAAGGGUGCGUAGGCGGCUUUACAAGUUGGAUGUGAAAGCCCAGGGCUCAACCCUGGAAUUGCAUUCAAUACUGUUUUGCUUGAAUUCGGUAGAGGUUGGUGGAAUUCCCAGUGUAGAGGUGAAAUUCGUAGAGAUUGGGAAGAACACCCGUGGCGAAGGCGGCCAACUGGACCGACAUUGACGCUGAGGCACGAAAGCGUGGGGAUCAAACAGG
Molecule: ribosomal RNA, 253 nt
Filed under: uncultured bacterium
Lineage: Bacteria
Description: partial 16S ribosomal RNA
Rfam family: Bacterial small subunit ribosomal RNA
Source: RNAcentral